Molecule: long non-coding RNA, 1142 nt
Organism: Astatotilapia calliptera (eastern happy)
Lineage: Eukaryota; Metazoa; Chordata; Actinopteri; Cichliformes; Cichlidae
Source: Ensembl
AGGACGUAUUGGCAGGUGCCCAAGCAGGAUGAGAGGGCACGAGGGCUUCAGGACGGCUGCAGCCAAGAGUGCUGAGGUGACAGCGGACGUCUUCUCUAGUUUUAAAGUAGCAAAGAAGCUGAGCGCCGGUGGUCGCAGACAGGAAGUCGAUUAUUUGCAUUCACUGCAUUGUCGCAACGCUCGAUGCAUUUUAAUUGGACACAAAAACGAGGCUGUGAGUUGCAGACACAGUAGAAAUACAAAUGAUAAACAAGCACUGCGGUGUAGAAAUAUUUCAGAGGCUGUCUGUUUAAAUAAGAUAACAAGACAUUUUUCUGUAUAAAUCAAUAAGCUUGGCCUGCUAUCAAUUAUCUUUUUUUUUUUUUUUUUUGCUAAGAAUGCAGUUUAGCUGCAGUCAGAUGCCACCACGUAGGCUGCAUAAUGAGAAAUGGGACAAGCUCACUGAUUAAUUUAUAACAAAAGAGUCAACAAAGGAAGGAGUAUUGUAUAUCACCUGGUGCAGACAAGAUAAGUGCAGGGUCUAAAUUAUAUUUGUUCAGAUACAAACAUAGAUGGAUUACCUCCGUGCCCAAACAGUAAAUUAAAAUGCAGCACCUUCACCUCAGCAGGCGUCUCGUCCUGCUGCAAAAACUUUUUUUUCUUCUUUUAAUUUAUUUGCUUAUUUAUUUAUUUUUCAUUUAAGUGGGCAGCAGGAUGGAAUAAUAAAUCCUCCUCUUUGGUGACUGGUUAAGACUCAUUAAAAAUCGCUAUAAAGCAUCGCAGCCAACUGUGGCUCUGUACCAUGUGAAUUGCUUGCAAAGUAAAUAUUAUGCCUCGGCCAUACUUUCUUUCAGGGAUUUACAUUAAUAAGAUAGUGGGUGUGCAGUAAUCAGCUAAUGGCAAGCCUGGCCAUGCAGGGCUAAUAGCAGCGAGGUUGUGCUACAAUUAGCCAGUGAUUGCAGGCAACAGCUGAGACGCUGUGUUUCUUCUGGGGGGAAAAAAGCAGAAGUUUCCUUAACGAGAAAGCUUUUUUUUAAGGAUUGCUUUGUUUUAAAAUGUAAUGCUUUCCCCAAUUUGUAAGCAAAAUGCGGCACAAUCUGCAAUUACUAUAAUCCCCGACAGCUCAGUUUCUCAACAGCAACGACUCUAUUAAAUCCAGAAAC